CGCCUACAACCCGCCCUGCCCGCCUCCCCAGGAAUGUGGAAUGCACCUGAACUGGAUCCUGCACGAGGAAGAAUGACUGAUCAAAGUCGCCAAGCCACCUGUUCCGGGACAGGUCCAAGAGAAAAUCAUUACCCAUUCAUUGUAUUAAUCUCUGUAAGCUGGGGCGCAGUUUCACUAAAAGCGGCUCGUAGACUCGUACAACAAUGGAUUGCUGCCUGUCUGCUGAGAAAGCGGAGAGUCUCAGGAUACACAGAGAAAUAGAGAAAGAACUUCGUCGUAAUAAAAGAACCAACCGCCGGGAGUUGAAGUUGCUGCUUUUAGGGACUGGUGAAAGUGGGAAGAGCACUUUCAUCAAACAGAUGAGGAUCAUCCAUGGCAGUGGAUACAGUGAAGAUGACAGGAAAGGUUUCACUCGGCUAGUGUUUCAGAACAUCGUCACAGCCAUCCAGUCGCUGAUCCACGCCAUGGGGACUCUACAAAUUGACUACGUCGAUGACCACAACAUUAGUCACGCACAGAAGCUGAGCCAAGUGGAGGCAGACCAGGUGUCCACUUUGGAGGCUUGGCAGGUGGAUGCCAUUAUGCGAGUGUGGAAUGACCAUGGUGUUCAAAGGUGCUACGACCGCAGGAGGGAAUUCCAGUUAUCGGACUCUGCCAAAUAUUACCUGAGUGACUUGGACAGAAUCACAGCCCAGUCAUACAUCCCCACACUGCAGGACAUCUUGAGGGUCAGGGUCCCCACCACGGGCAUCAUAGAGUACCCCUUUGACCUGUCAAAAGUUAUCUUCAGGAUGGUGGAUGUGGGCGGUCAGCGUUCAGAGAGGAGGAAAUGGAUCCACUGUUUUGAGAAUGUCACUUCCAUCAUAUUUCUAGCGGCCCUCAGCGAGUAUGAUCAAGUCCUUAACGAGAAUGAGAAAGAUAAUCGACUGAAGGAGAGCGUCGCCUUGUUCAAGACAAUCAUCUCAUACACUUGGUUCCAGGAGUCUUCCAUCAUCCUCUUCCUGAACAAAACGGACUUGCUAGAGGAGAAAAUCACACAUUCACAUUUGGCAACCUACUUCCCAGACUUUACUGGGCCUCAGUGUGAUGCUGGAGCUGCGAAAAAGUUCAUCAAACAAAUGUAUGUGGAUGAGCACCGAGGACAUCCUAAAUCCUUUUACUCACACUACACCUGUGCCACGGACACAGGGAACAUCCGGGUUGUCUUCAAAGCCGUUGAAGAUACAAUCCGCCAAGAGAACUUUGACCUGUUCAACCUCCAAUAAGGAGGUUGUAGGACAAAGUGAUGGUUUCACCUUUAGGAGCCUGGUUAUACAGUGACAUGUCACUUUUAUGGACAUUUUAUCUGUUGUGCUGUCGGUUGCAGCUUGUUCAAAGACAUCAAAGGGAGGCAAUCAGACAGCAAUGACAGGUAAGGGACAUUUAUCCUUGCACUGUAAAAUACAGGCAGUAUGUGCCAUUUCUUAAUAUAAAUGGUAAAAAAACAUUUUCUUUUGCUACAGGAGAGAAAGGAACAACUGCAAUGUCAGUUAAUUGUUGUACUGAACCGUUUACAGAGAGAUUCCUUGUAUAUCAUUGCUGUUAGAUGGAUAGUAAAUGGUAUCAAACUGGUUAGACAAAGUCUACUAAGAAUGCAACCCACCCUGCCUUACAACUCUGUGAGGAGGAAGUAAAAGAAUAAAUACCCUGCUGGGACCAACAAUUCCCAAGUUUGUAUUUAUGCUGUUUUAUGUGUGCAACAACAACCAUGUAGCCUAUAAAAUGAUUCCUCUUUUUUUUCACUAGAUAUUAAAGGGUCAAUAUUGUAAAAAGUGA
Molecule: RNA transcript, 1815 nt
Organism: Sander lucioperca (pikeperch)
Lineage: Eukaryota; Metazoa; Chordata; Actinopteri; Perciformes; Percidae
Gene name: guanine nucleotide-binding protein subunit alpha-14-like
Exons: 8
Source: RefSeq, a predicted model, not a curated record